AUUGAACGCUGGCGGCAGGCUUAACACAUGCAAGUCGAGCGGGCGCGGUUGCUUCGGUAACUGAGCUAGCGGCGGACGGGUGAGUAAUGCUUAGGAAUCUGCCUAUUUACGGGGGACAACAUUCCGACAGGAAUGCUAAUACCGCAUACGCCCUUCGGGGGUACGCAUGAGAUCUUCGGACCUUGCGCUAUUAGAUGAUCCUAAGUCAGGUUUGCUAGUUAGGCGGGUAAAGGCCUACCAACGCGACGAUCUGUAGCGGGGCUGCUAGGAUGAUCCGCCAAAAUGGGACUGAGACAAGGCCCCGACCUCUAAGGGGGGCAGCAGGGGGGAAUAUUGGACCAUGGGGGGAAGCCUGGUCCAGCCAAGCCGGCGGGGUGAAGAAGGCCUUUUGGUUGGAAAGCACCUUAAGCGGGGAGGAGGCUACAUGGAUUAAUACUCUCGGAUAGUGGACGUUACUCGCAGAAUAAGCACCGGCUAACUCUGUG
This 485-nucleotide ribosomal RNA is filed under the name uncultured bacterium. Its description in RNAcentral is "partial 16S ribosomal RNA". It matches the Rfam family "Bacterial small subunit ribosomal RNA", at positions 30 to 507 of the family's 1533-position model. The record is from RNAcentral.